RNAcentral lists this long non-coding RNA (478 nucleotides) under Triticum aestivum (bread wheat). Its description in RNAcentral is "long non-coding RNA (TAES_LNC017853)". The record is from RNAcentral. Lineage: Eukaryota; Viridiplantae; Streptophyta; Magnoliopsida; Poales; Poaceae.
UGGCAAACUUUGCUAUCAAUUCUGUUCCCAUAUCCUCGGGCAUGCGAAAUCCCCCCUCAAGAGGCGAGCCAUUAGUGUUUGAUGUCUGAGCCUAUCUCCAUUUUUUGUGCUACAAUAUAGAUAGUUUACCAAGGUUAUUAGCUUAUAGCAGAUCUACCAUCUUCUCCUUUUAGGUUGGCAUCAUGGUUGGAAGAUCUUCUAUGCUACUCUCUACAUGAUGUUUCUUCUACAUGAUAGCGCUUGAAGUCUACAUGAUGUUUCUUGUAUUCAUAGCUCAAACCAUUUGUUUAGCUUAGUUUGAACAAAAAAUAUUAUUGUCUUACAUGUAAAUAAUGUUUACUAAUGUAGCUGGAUGCUACUGAACGCAUGUACGAAAGUCAAAAUACUAAAGUGUUAGUCAUUACGUGUUUGACAACUGCUGUUGAAUCUUGAGUGAAUUCUUGUAUGAAUAGAAAAAAUGCCACCAAAUUCCUGUAUG